UACGGAAGGGGCGAGCGUUGCUCGGAAUCACUGGGCGUAAAGCGCACGUAGGCGGGUUGUUAAGUCGGGGGUGAAAUCCUGGAGCUCAACUCCAGAACUGCCUUCGAUACUGGCGACCUUGAGUCCGGGAGAGGUGAGUGGAACUCCGAGUGUAGAGGUGAAAUUCGUAGAUAUUCGGAAGAACACCAGUGGCGAAGGCGGCUCACUGGCCCGGUACUGACGCUGAGGUGCGAAAGCGUGGGGAGCAAACAGG
Molecule: ribosomal RNA, 253 nt
Filed under: uncultured bacterium
Lineage: Bacteria
Description: partial 16S ribosomal RNA
Rfam family: Bacterial small subunit ribosomal RNA
Source: RNAcentral